RNAcentral lists this ribosomal RNA (843 nucleotides) under uncultured Bacillota bacterium. RNAcentral's name for it is "bacterial SSU rRNA". It matches the Rfam family "Bacterial small subunit ribosomal RNA", at positions 1 to 874 of the family's 1533-position model. Lineage: Bacteria; Bacillati; Bacillota. The record is from RNAcentral.
GCCCUUAGAGUUUGAUCCUGGCUCAGGAUGAACGCUGGCGGCGUGCCUAACACAUGCAAGUCGAGCGAUUUACUUCGGUAAAGAGCGGCGGACGGGUGAGUAACGCGUGGGUAACCUGCCCUAUACACACGGAUAACGUACCGAAAGGUACGCUAAUACGAGAUAACAUAUUUUUAUCGCAUGGUAAGAAUAUCAAAGCUUCGGCGGUAUAGGAUGGACCCGCGUCUGAUUAGCUAGUUGGUAAGGUAACGGCUUACCAAGGCGACGAUCAGUAGCCGACCUGAGAGGGUGAUCGGCCACAUUGGAACUGAGACACGGUCCAAACUCCUACGGGAGGCAGCAGUGGGGAAUAUUGCACAAUGGGCGAAAGCCUGAUGCAGCAACGCCGCGUGAGCGAUGAAGGCCUUCGGGUCGUAAAGCUCUGUCCUCAAGGAAGAUAAUGACGGUACUUGAGGAGGAAGCCCCGGCUAACUACGUGCCAGCAGCCGCGGUAAUACGUAGGGGGCUAGCGUUAUCCGGAAUUACUGGGCGUAAAGGGUGCGUAGGUGGUUUCUUAAGUCAGAGGUGAAAGGCUACGGCUCAACCGUAGUAAGCCUUUGAAACUGAGAAACUUGAGUGCAGGAGAGGAGAGUAGAAUUCCUAGUGUAGCGGUGAAAUGCGUAGAUAUUAGGAGGAAUACCAGUUGCGAAGGCGGCUCUCUGGACUGUAACUGACACUGAGGCACGAAAGCGUGGGGAGCAAACAGGAUUAGAUACCCUGGUAGUCCACGCCGUAAACGAUGAGUACUAGCUGUCGGAGGUUACCCCCUUCGGUGGCGCAGCUAACGCAUUAAGUACUCCGCCU